UAGUAUUUUUCCCGUCCGGUUUUUUUUGGUUUUUUUUUUUUUUUUUUUGCUGUUUGUUGUUCUCC
This 65-nucleotide non-coding RNA is filed under the name Rhodosorus marinus. Lineage: Eukaryota; Rhodophyta; Stylonematophyceae; Stylonematales; Stylonemataceae. The record is from RNAcentral.